UCGAGCGGUAGCACAGGUGAGCUUGCUCCCUGGGUGACGAGCGGCGGACGGGUGAGUAAUGUCUGGGAAACUGCCUGAUGGAGGGGGAUAACUACUGGAAACGGUAGCUAAUACCGCAUAACGUCGCAAGACCAAAGAGGGGGACCUUCGGGCCUCUUGCCAUCAGAUGUGCCCAGAUGGGAUUAGCUAGUAGGUGGGGUAAUGGCUCACCUAGGCGACGAUCCCUAGCUGGUCUGAGAGGAUGACCAGCCACACUGGAACUGAGACACGGUCCAGACUCCUACGGGAGGCAGCAGUGGGGAAUAUUGCACAAUGGGCGCAAGCCUGAUGCAGCCAUGCCGCGUGUGUGAAGAAGGCCUUCGGGUUGUAAAGCACUUUCAGCGAGGAGGAAGGUGGUGAACUUAAUACGUUCAUCAAUUGACGUUACUCGCAGAAGAAGCACCGGCUAACUCCGUGCCAGCAGCCGCGGUAAUACGGAGGGUGCAAGCGUUAAUCGGAAUUACUGGGCGUAAAGCGCACGCAGGCGGUUUGUUAAGUCAGAUGUGAAAUCCCCGGGCUCAACCUGGGAACUGCAUUUGAAACUGGCAAGCUAGAGUCUCGUAGAGGGGGGUAGAAUUCCAGGUGUAGCGGUGAAAUGCGUAGAGAUCUGGAGGAAUACCGGUGGCGAAGGC
This 671-nucleotide ribosomal RNA is filed under the name uncultured Enterobacterales bacterium. RNAcentral describes it as "bacterial SSU rRNA". It matches the Rfam family "Bacterial small subunit ribosomal RNA", at positions 62 to 722 of the family's 1533-position model. The record is from RNAcentral. Lineage: Bacteria; Pseudomonadati; Pseudomonadota; Gammaproteobacteria; Enterobacterales.